This 297-nucleotide ribosomal RNA is filed under the name uncultured bacterium. RNAcentral describes it as "partial 16S ribosomal RNA". It matches the Rfam family "Bacterial small subunit ribosomal RNA", at positions 28 to 334 of the family's 1533-position model. The record is from RNAcentral.
GAUGAACGCUGACAGAAUGCUUAGCACAUGCAAGUCGACUCGAGUCUUCGGACUUGGGUGGCGCACGGGUGAGUAACGCGUAAAGAACUUGCCUCUUAGACCGGGACAACAUUUGGAAACGGAUGCUAAUACCGUAUGACAUUGCUUUUUUGCAUGAAGAAGCAAUUAAAACUACAGGUGGUGUAAGGUGGGCUCGCGUCUGAUUAGCUAGUUGGUGAGGUAACGGCCCACCAAGGCGACGAUCAGUAGCCGGCUUGAGAGAGUGAACGGCCACACUGGAACUGAGACACGGUCCAG